GCAAGUCGUACGCUUCUUUUUCCACCGGAGCUUGCUCCACCGGAAAAAGAAGAGUGGCGAACGGGUGAGUAACACGUGGGUAACCUGCCCAUCAGAAGGGGAUAACACUUGGAAACAGGUGCUAAUACCGUAUAACAAUCGAAACCGCAUGGUUUUGAUUUGAAAGGCGCUUUCGGGUGUCGCUGAUGGAUGGACCCGCGGUGCAUUAGCUAGUUGGUGAGGUAACGGCUCACCAAGGCCACGAUGCAUAGCCGACCUGAGAGGGUGAUCGGCCACAUUGGGACUGAGACACGGCCCAAACUCCUACGGGAGGCAGCAGUAGGGAAUCUUCGGCAAUGGACGAAAGUCUGACCGAGCAACGCCGCGUGAGUGAAGAAGGUUUUCGGAUCGUAAAACUCUGUUGUUAGAGAAGAACAAGGAUGAGAGUAACUGUUCAUCCCUUGACGGUAUCUAACCAGAAAGCCACGGCUAACUACGUGCCAGCAGCCGCGGUAAUACGUAGGUGGCAAGCGUUGUCCGGAUUUAUUGGGCGUAAAGCGAGCGCAGGCGGUUUCUUAAGUCUGAUGUGAAAGCCCCCGGCUCAACCGGGGAGGGUCAUUGGAAACUGGGAGACUUGAGUGCAGAAGAGGAGAGUGGAAUUCCAUGUGUAGCGGUGAAAUGCGUAGAUAUAUGGAGGAACACCAGUGGCGAAGGCGGCUCUCUGGUCUGUAACUGACGCUGAGGCUCGAAAGCGUGGGGAGCAAACAGGAUUAGAUACCCUGGUAGUCCACGCCGUAAACGAUGAGUGCUAAGUGUUGGAGGGUUUCCGCCCUUCAGUGCUGCAGCUAACGCAUUAAGCACUCCGCCUGGGGAGUACGACCGCAAGGUUGAAACUCAAAGGAAUUGACGGGGGCCCGCACAAGCGGUGGAGCAUGUGGUUUAAUUCGAAGCAACGCGAAGAACCUUACCAGGUCUUGACAUCCUUUGACCACUCUAGAGAUAGAGCUUCCCCUUCGGGGGCAAAGUGACAGGUGGUGCAUGGUUGUCGUCAGCUCGUGUCGUGAGAUGUUGGGUUAAGUCCCGCAACGAGCGCAACCCUUAUUGUUAGUUGCCAUCAUUCAGUUGGGCACUCUAGCAAGACUGCCGGUGACAAACCGGAGGAAGGUGGGGAUGACGUCAAAUCAUCAUGCCCCUUAUGACCUGGGCUACACACGUGCUACAAUGGGAAGUACAACGAGUCGCGAAGUCGCGAGGCUAAGCUAAUCUCUUAAAGCUUCUCUCAGUUCGGAUUGUAGGCUGCAACUCGCCUACAUGAAGCCGGAAUCGCUAGUAAUCGCGGAUCAGCACGCCGCGGUGAAUAAAUUCCCGGGCCUUGUACACACCGCCCGUCACACCACGAGAGUUUGUAACACCCGAAGUCGGUGAGGUAACCUUUUGGAGCCAGCCGCCUA
Molecule: ribosomal RNA, 1430 nt
Filed under: Enterococcus durans
Lineage: Bacteria; Bacillati; Bacillota; Bacilli; Lactobacillales; Enterococcaceae
Description: bacterial SSU rRNA
Rfam family: Bacterial small subunit ribosomal RNA
Source: RNAcentral